AUUGAACGCUGGCGGCAGGCCUAACACAUGCAAGUCGAGCGGAUGAAGGGAGCUUGCUCCUGGAUUCAGCGGCGGACGGGUGAGUAAUGCCUAGGAAUCUGCCUGGUAGUGGGGGAUAACGUCCGGAAACGGGCGCUAAUACCGCAUACGUCCUGAGGGAGAAAGUGGGGGAUCUUCGGACCUCACGCUAUCAGAUGAGCCUAGGUCGGAUUAGCUAGUUGGUGGGGUAAAGGCCUACCAAGGCGACGAUCCGUAGCUGGUCUGAGAGGAUGAUCAGUCACACUGGAACUGAGACACGGUCCAGACUCCUACGGGAGGCAGCAGUGGGGAAUAUUGGACAAUGGGCGAAAGCCUGAUCCAGCAAUGCCGCGUGUGUGAAGAAGGUCUUCGGAUUGUAAAGCACUUUAAGUUGGGAAGAAGGGCAGUAAGUUAAUACCUUGGUGUUUUGACGGUACCAACAGAAUAAGCACCGGCUAACUUCGUG
RNAcentral lists this ribosomal RNA (484 nucleotides) under uncultured bacterium. Its description in RNAcentral is "partial 16S ribosomal RNA". It matches the Rfam family "Bacterial small subunit ribosomal RNA", at positions 30 to 507 of the family's 1533-position model. The record is from RNAcentral.